GAUGAACGCUGGCGGCGUGCCUAAUACAUGCAAGUCGAGCGAACAGACAAGAAGAUUGCUCCCCUGACGUUAGCGGCGGACGGACGGGUAAGAAAUAGAUCACCAUCUUCUUUGACUGGGAUAACUUCGUGAAAACGGUGACACUACUACCUCAUAUAAUCUACGGCUUAGAUCAGUAGUGCUUGACGCCUUUGCUGUUAGUUUUAGACGAUUUCGCGCCGGAUUAGCUAGUUGGUAAGGUAACGGCUUACCAAGGCAACGAUGCGUAGCCGACCUGAGAGGAUGAUCAGCCACACUGGAACUGAGACACGGUCCAGACUCCUACGGGAGGCAGCAGUGGGGAAUCUUCGACAAUGGGCGAAAGCCUGACGGAGCAACGCCGCGUGAGUGAUGAAGGUCUUCGGAUCGUAAAACUCUGUUAUUAGGGAAGAAAAAAUGUGGAUUAAACUAUGGACGUCUUGACGGUACCUAAACAGAAAGCCACGGCUAACUUCGUG
Molecule: ribosomal RNA, 497 nt
Filed under: uncultured bacterium
Lineage: Bacteria
Description: partial 16S ribosomal RNA
Rfam family: Bacterial small subunit ribosomal RNA
Source: RNAcentral